UACGAAGGGGGCUAGCGUUGUUCGGAUUUACUGGGCGUAAAGCGCACGUAGGCGGAUUGUUAAGUGAGAGGUGAAAUCCCGGAGCUCAACUCCGGAACUGCCUUUCAUACUGGCAAUCUAGAGUCCGGAAGAGGUGAGUGGAACUCCUAGUGUAGAGGUGGAAUUCGUAGAUAUUAGGAAGAACACCAGUGGCGAAGGCGGCUCACUGGUCCGGUACUGACGCUGAGGUGCGAAAGCGUGG
RNAcentral lists this ribosomal RNA (241 nucleotides) under uncultured bacterium. RNAcentral describes it as "partial 16S ribosomal RNA". It matches the Rfam family "Bacterial small subunit ribosomal RNA", at positions 524 to 764 of the family's 1533-position model. The record is from RNAcentral.